UUCCAGGAACAAAUAAGGAUACCUCAGAAGCUGGUGGCAACAUAGCAGGCAUUUGCAACAAGUAUCGUCUAGCAAUGAUCCAAGAGGAAAGGAUGAACUCCUUGAUAUACUUUGCAUACAUGAUCAUGGGAGAGUAGAAUCAAAGCAGAGGAUAACAAUCUUGAUGGACAUUAAACCUAUACUUCUUCCUUCAUCCACAACUGAGCCUUCACAAUAACUGUGUGCCAGAAAUGAGAGGAGUGGGGUGAGAGGAAUAACUCCAGUAAGCUCUUUAACACAGA
Molecule: long non-coding RNA, 281 nt
Organism: Condylura cristata (star-nosed mole)
Lineage: Eukaryota; Metazoa; Chordata; Mammalia; Eulipotyphla; Talpidae
Exons: 3
Source: RefSeq, a predicted model, not a curated record